This is a small nuclear RNA of Eptesicus fuscus (big brown bat), 107 nucleotides long. The record is from RefSeq and is a predicted model, not a curated record. NCBI's taxonomy places the organism in Eukaryota, Metazoa, Chordata, Mammalia, Chiroptera, Vespertilionidae.
GUGCUCGCUUCAGCAGCACAUAUACUAAAAUUGGAACGAUACAGAUAAGAUUAGCAUGACCCCUGCACAAAAAUGGCAUGCAAAUUUGUGAAGUGGCCCUAACCGGU